CCCAAGCCCUGCACGUCCCAGGUUGCCGCGGGGUUGGACGUUACGCUGUCGUCCACUAACCCAAACUGCUGAUGCCUCUGGCUCUCCGGCGGGAGUCGGCCGUUUAGCUGUACGCCUCACUGCCAGGGUACAGGCGCCGGGAGUUUCUCAAACAAGAUUCCGCUUCUUAGGGCGGUAACGGCGUGCAUGGGGUGGGGUGGGGCGGUGAGAGAAGCGGAGCCGCUGUAAACCAUGCUAGUGAGCUGCGAGUCCGUCUAUGGAGAGGGCCAACUUCGCGAGACCGCGAGCAGUUCGAGCCUGUGCCGGGAAGCUCCCAAGCGACGCCACGGGCCGAAAACUACAUUUCCCGGCAUCCUCUUGGCGCCAGAACUACGUUGCCCGAAAGGCUGAGCGCGAUUCGCUCCGUUUUCUCACCCGGCUGCCUCCGGCUGGAAAACCCGUGAAAUGUGGGGCCGCUGGGUUCGUCCGCUCCUGCGUUCUGAGGUUUCGAGCCCCUGUGGGCGUUUUUCUUCGGCCCUGCGAAGAGGAAGUAACAGUACAACAGCUAAUGGCUCAUUUGGACUCCAUCAGGAAAGACAUGGUCAUCCUAGAGAAAAGUGAAUUUGCAAAUCUGCGAGCAGAGAACCAGAAAAUGAAAAUUGAAUUAGAACAAGUUAAACAACAACUGAUAAAUGAAACUAGUCGAAUCAGAGCAGAUAACAAACUGGAUAUCAACCUAGAAAGGAGCAGAGUAACAGAUAUGUUUACAGAUCAAGAAAAGAAACUUAUGGAAGCAACCACAGAAUUUACCAGAAAUGAUACCAAAACCAGAGGUAUUAUUUCAGAGACUGGUAACAAAAUUGACACUGAAAUUGCUUCUUUAAAAACCCUGAUGGAAUCCAACAAGCUUGAGACAAUUCGUUAUCUUGCAGCCUCAGUGUUUACUUGCCUGGCAAUAGCAUUGGGAUUUUAUCGACUCUGGAAAUAACAGUGGAACUGCUGUAGCUAUGCAUGCUCCUACUCCUGCUGCUUUGACUCUUGAAACACUGCCUGGAUGGAUUUACUCUGGAUGGAUUUACUCUGAACAUUUAAAGUUACAGUAGGAACUGAAUACACGAUUAUUUAAAGUACAUAUGGACUAAAAGGAAAUAUUUUAGAACGGAAAGUACAUUUACUCACUCAAAUAAGAAUGCCUGCUAUGGACAUGCUGGUCCCCACAUGCAGCGCUUCCCAUGGAACUGAGGAUCUCAGUUGAAGAUAGACAGUAAAAAGGUAAGUUAUUCAUUUGCACAAUUUAAAAGACGCUAAAAUUUUAAGAGGGACCAUGUCUUCCCUCCAUGUGAAGGAAGUUCCAAUAGCAUAACACUGGAACCACUCAGCUGCCCUGCCACAGGUGGUUCAGUGAGAUUAAAGAAGCAGGCCCUGGUAGCCCAGCCACUUCUCCCCACUCCUGUCUGGGACCAGCCUUUCUACACACAGUGCUUAUUCCAUUCUGCUCCUGUGGGAUCAAGCCCUGGUGACUAGUUCAGAGCACAGGUACUCGGCAAGCCACCAGCGUGCAAGCCACUGGAGCUGCAGCCCUGGGGCCCACGAGUGGCCCAGAGGCCCUCAGGCACACACACACAUGCGGUUCUAGUUGAAAAGUCCACCAGAGCAGGAGCCUGCCAGAGUGCAUCCCAGCACCGCAGCGGGACAGCCAGCCGUCAGCACAGCCUGCAGCCCCACCUGCACAUGCACACAAGCAGUCGUGGCCUGGACCCUGCUCCAGACCCGCUGGGCUUUUCCUGCGCGGCCAGACUGAGUCCCCUCCUCAGGUCUCGGCUGAAGCCCAGGUUUCCGCACCCAGAUGCUACGCACGCCAGCAGGUAUGAGUCUUGGGCUGGAAGUGUGGGGACAUGGCCAGGACCUUCCAUGUUGGUCCCUCUGUGCCCUUCAGCUCCGUGGGCCAACUCCACCCUGCCCUCCAGCCCCUGAGGUGCCCUACCUGUCCCUGCCAGCCCGCCAGCCCCGCAGGAGGCUCCUGCCUCGCGGGCAUUCUUCCACAGUACAUGCCCAGGCGUGCAGGUCCCGUCCCAAUUCCUCUUCUCCCUUUCCCUUCAUCCUCCCAGUUAUGUGGGGAUUGGAGCUUUGGUUCUAUGAGAUCUGCAAGCAUUUGUAGGUAUUCUGUGAGAACUGUUCCACAUGUUGAUGCAUUUUUUGAUGUAUUUGUGGGAGGAAGUGAGCUCCAUGAUCCUGUCCUUCAAGCCAUUCUGAACUGGAGUCCCAGUAUUUUCUCAAUAUAAAGGAAAAAAUGAGGCAGUGGAAACGGCUAUGCACAAACAUUGAGAUUAGUGACUGUCAUUCUGUAAAACAGCCACACUGACUAUACAACAUGAAUAUGCUAAAUAAUAUAUAUCAACUCACCUGUUCGUCACAGCAGUCCUCUUAGGUGGUUAUCCUCAGUUUACAGCUAAAGAAACAAGCUAAGUGAAAUUAAGGUCACACCGGUGAAGCUGCCAAGGUCACACACUGGGUUCACUCCUGGCGGUGUCCAGUGACUCACUGACGUACCGCAUUGCAGAAGAAAGGGGCAAGAUGUGGGCAAACCCCUUCCCUUCAGGGACAUGGCCACAAGGUUAUACAUGGCAUUUCUGCUCACGCUCUUAUCGGCCACAACUGGGCAUCUUAGCUGCAAAGGAAACUAAGUCAGCCCUUAGCCUGAGUUGCCACAAGCCCAGAUGGAGAUAUGGCCCUGAGGAAACUGGAACAAGUACAACAAAGUGUGAGAAAACUGAGUGAAUAGAAGAAACUGUUCCAGGGCGGGAUUGCCUUACAGUUACCAGGCUUGAAGGAAAAAGUAAGGCUGUGUGAAGUCCCCGAAGGGGAGGGAAAUGUUGGACUUGGGAAUUCCAGUUGUGAUAAAGAAGAAUGCAGACUCUGAAAUUUCGCUCCUCAGGUUAGAAUCCUAGCUCCACGUUGCUGUGUGACUCUGGGCGAAUUCCUUAACCUCCAUGUAUCAAGUACUACACCUCCAUCAUGUAAGCUGUGGUGGGAAUUAAGCAGUAAUGUGAAGAACUUACACAGAUCACACACAAAGUGCCCAAUAAAUGCUGACAACCGUUUUUACUACAGAUUGAAAGCCUGUUGCAUGAUAAUGACUAUAAGGGUUAUAGAAAGGAUAGGUAAGCCACUUUUUAACACUUGCUUAUAGCCCUUGACAAGCCUAAACAAGUCUUAGCAACCAGAUGCACUCAUGUCAGAGCAUUCAAGUCCUGGUGAUACUGGGCCAAAAUGGCCUUCAGCACCAUGUAAAGUAUCUGCCAGGGCCUAGAGGCUGGACAGUCUGGGGUGUGGUGAGAAGGCUGCUGCCAGUGAAGCAAAGGCUUUGGGCUUGAUUAUCAUUGGAUAUGAUUAUCAUCCUGUCCAAUCAACCUUGUCUAUUAGUCCUUUCUUAUAAAGCUUGCAAGACAGAACAAUGGCUGAAUUCUAAAGCAGAUUAUUUAGAUGUGUAUUUUUAGCAAACACAUGUAUUUUUUCUUUUUACAAGAGCUGAUUUUCAUUUUAUGUAAACUUCCCUGGAGAUAUUUGGUUGUUAUUAUAAAGUGCUUUUCUAAAACUUA
This is an RNA transcript of Bubalus bubalis (water buffalo), 3578 nucleotides long. It is a transcript of the gene named coiled-coil domain containing 90B, with no coding region annotated. The transcript is spliced from 10 exons. The record is from RefSeq and is a predicted model, not a curated record. NCBI's taxonomy places the organism in Eukaryota, Metazoa, Chordata, Mammalia, Artiodactyla, Bovidae.